GGAUGGAAGGAUGAGGAGAGGGAGGGAUGGAUGGAUGGAAGGAUGGAAGGAUGAGGAGAGGGAGGGAGGGAUGGAUGAAGAGAGGGAGGGAGGGAUGGAAGGAUGAGGAGAGGGAGGGAUGGAAGGAUGAGGAGAGGGAGUUGGUGCGAUGGUUUGGAACAGGAUAACGGUUGUGUCUUUGACAAAACCAUCAACAGGGUCGUAUUCAUUAGGGCAUGCAAAGUAAUGUAUGUUUGACAAUUUAACGUUUCCUAUUGGACAGAUGCAAGGUUGUCUCCCUGUUUCAGUCCAUUUACUUCCGUUUGGUGCUUAAUGAACACGACCCAGGUAAAUGUAAAACGUUAAGGGAAAUCUAACGUAGUGGCAACGUGAGAUUAGGAUUGAGAUUAUGUCUAGUUUGAGAUUGUUAUGGUUCUCAUCAUAACACUCCUCUCUGUACAAAGAAAAAAUAUAUAUAUAAAUAUAUAUAUAUUAUGCAGUAAAGGGUUUAAUAUAUUUAUUUUGUUAUAAAUUGUGUAUGUUAUUAUGAAUUUGAUUGAUAAAAAGAGACAAUGUUUGUUUUUGGGUUUACACUUCUGAAAAGGGAAAAUGGUAUGCUGUAGGAAAUCUUUUGCACAACUACAUUACCCUUGAAGCACCUGCUUCUCCAACGGUCCUCCUCCACAGGACCCGCUCCUCCACAGGACCCGCUCCUCCACAUGACCCGCUCCUCCACAGGACCCGCUCCUCCACAGGUACUGGUCCUCUGCGGGUACUGGACCAUUGCCGAACAUGUAGCACCCACCUGGGUGAUGCCACAGCUUCUGAAAGGUGCAAUUGAAUUGACUGGAAUUAAAAUGGAAUUGAUCCCAAUCCUGCUGUUUAAAGACAGAGAUUGUGAGACAAAGUGCCAGUCAUUUUUACAUUCAUAUCCAAUAGGACUUGGAAGGGAUAUAACUUCUAUGGAUGAGAUUACUACUAGCAUACUGGAAAAGCACAGUUAGUUUAUUCUAUCCUGGUCCUAGAUCUGUUUGUGCUGUAUAGCCAACUCCUAUUGCAUUUGACAAGAGAACACAAACAGAUCUGGAACCAGGCUCGAUUUACACUGACGCUCAGGUUAGAAAACAUUCCAUUAUAGUCCGGUCCAAGACCUGUUUGUGCUGGGUAGCCAACUCCUAUGGUUUGACAAGACAACACAAGGCGAUCUGGAACCAGGCUAAGAUUGUUGUAGGUAUAGUAUAGGAUUUAGACUGAUUCCACUAUAUAACACUGUUUGUUUUUCACUUUUUUUUUUCUGUCAGUAGCGUUUGUUGUAGGUUUUCAUAUUCAUAUGUUUGAUGUGCUGUUUUCUUUUCUUUUAUAUGUGGCAUUGUUAUUAGAGAUUGGGAAUUUGCAUUAGUUUGUGUUUCUACUGUAUAAGUGCCUGACUACUCAUAAGCUAAAGAGAACCAAAAAGGCUUUCUGCAUUGCUGAGAUCAUGAUGAUAGUUCCUAUCACUGUAUAAUAGAGUUUAAACAAUGGAGAGAGAGAGAGAGACAGAGGUGUUUUCUAUUGAUGACAGGCAUUUGAAUGACGACUGUACUGUAGGUAUUGUCAGGUCCAUCAUUAUUGACACCCCUUGAUAAAUAUGAGCCAAGACAUUCUGUACAAAAUACUAAUUCUGAGCUAUAUUGCAUGCUCAACAAUAUGGGGAAACUGUAUAUUAUUUUAUACCAAUACAAUUGCUCAGCAAAAGAAAACUCUAUUGUCAUGUCAUCUGACCAUAGCACCGCCUGGAGUUUGCACCGCCUGGAGUUUGAUAAACGGCAUUGGCAAUUGGAUUGGAACCGGUGCUUUGGUCAGAUGACAUGUAAAUAGAGCUCCUUGGCAACGCAAAACAGCGAUGGGUUUAGUGUUGAAAAACAGAAGCAUAUGCAGGAAUGAACCUCCAAUACCUACUGUAAAAUAUGGUGGUGGAUCUGUGAUGUUAUGGAGCUGUUUUGCUUCCACUGGUCCCGGGACCCUUGUUUACGGUCAACGGCAUCAGAAACUUUAUCCAGUACCAGGACAUAUUUUUUUGUUGUUGCCAAAAACCUGAUUUCUUCUGCCAAGAGGCUGACGCAAGUGGAUCUUCCAGCAAGAUAAUGACCACUAGGACUAAUCAAACGUUCAUCCAUAAAUCUAAAUGCUGCAAUGGUCACCUCAGUCUCUGGACUUUGAGUCCAUUCCUCCAUACAGAAUAAGAUCCCUCCCAACGUGUUUUCCAGUCUCAUAAAACAUUUUAGAAAUAGGCUCAGUGGUGUUAUCGUCGCAAGCGGAGGGUGCUGGAACAGGGGUGCCAAGAACCCCAAUCUUUUUUUAGAUUUUUGUACGUAUUUCUUGUUCAACAAAAUCUCAUUUUCUGAGCAAUUGUAUUGUUAUAAAAUAGUAUAAUUUCACCCUUCGGGUUUUUUUUGCAUGAAAUAUAUCUCAGUAUUUAUAUUGUUUAUUUAUACAAUAUUUUUUUGCUCAUCUUUAUCCAGGGUGCCAAUAAUUAUAAACAUGAUUAUAUCUGGGGUUUAGUUUUCGGGUUUAUCUUUUUUUUUAUGAGCAUUUUAUCACUUAUCUAAAAUGUAACUGUAUCAAAUUGUUGUAUUUUGUUGUGUACUGUAUUAAAAACCACUACUGCGUUUUUUGGGGGGUUUUUGUUGUUGCUGUAGUUGUCUAUGGCCAGUAAAACAAUGAGAUUCGAAAUGUUUCUUUCAAAGACUUUCCUUACCAUGUUGCCAACUUGACUUGCUGUCGGUUAAUGCAAAAGAUUGUUUUAGCGGUUGUGGUUGAUGGGUUGUGGAUGCUGUCUGUGUGUUCAGUCUGUGUGUAUAUAUGACAAUCAUGGUGUUACUUAUUGCUCAAUAUUAAAUCUAUUUUCUGGAAUGUAUAAAGUAUUGGCCUACUGUGUAUCUUUAGUUCAAUCAGUUUAGUUUUUAUUCUGUUUAAAUGAAUAGAAAAUAAGAAAGCUGGUGUGUGUGUGUGUGGGGUGGUGAGAAACAGAUUACACAUGCCCACAAAGAAUUCAGA
RNAcentral lists this long non-coding RNA (3015 nucleotides) under Salmo salar (Atlantic salmon). Its description in RNAcentral is "lncRNA (ENSSSAG00000051941.2)". Lineage: Eukaryota; Metazoa; Chordata; Actinopteri; Salmoniformes; Salmonidae. The record is from RNAcentral.